CAGUCGCCGCGGUAAUACGAAGGGGGCUAGCGUUGUUCGGAAUUACUGGGCGUAAAGCGCACGUAGGCGGAUAUUUAAGUCAGGGGUGAAAUCCCAGAGCUCAACUCUGGAACUGCCUUUGAUACUGGGUAUCUUGAGUAUGGAAGAGGUGAGUGGAAUUCCGAGUGUAGAGGCGAAAUUCGUAGAUAUUCGGAGGAACACCAGUGGCGAAGGCGGCUCACUGGUCCAUUACUGACGCUGAGGUGCGAAAGCGUGGGGAGCAAACAGGAUUAGAUACCCCUGUAGUCCCUUGUCUCUUAUA
RNAcentral lists this ribosomal RNA (301 nucleotides) under uncultured bacterium. RNAcentral describes it as "partial 16S ribosomal RNA". It matches the Rfam family "Bacterial small subunit ribosomal RNA", at positions 509 to 808 of the family's 1533-position model. The record is from RNAcentral.